Molecule: small nucleolar RNA, 79 nt
Organism: Mangifera indica (mango)
Lineage: Eukaryota; Viridiplantae; Streptophyta; Magnoliopsida; Sapindales; Anacardiaceae
Product: small nucleolar RNA snoR114
Exons: 1
Source: RefSeq, a predicted model, not a curated record
GAGCUGUGAAGAGUCAUUAGAUGUGAUGGUUGGGUCCAUCACCACUCAUCUCGAGAUGAUAACUAGUGUGUCUGAGCUC